GAUGAACGCUGGCGGCGUGCCUAAUACAUGCAAGUCGAGCGAACGGACGAGAAGCUUGCUCCUCUGAUGUUAGCGGCGGACGGGUGAGUAACACGUGGAUAACCUACCUAUAAGACUGGGAUAACUUCGGGAAACCGGAGCUAAUACCGGAUGAUAUUUUGAACCGCAUGGUUCAAUAGUGAAAGACGGUUUUGCUGUCACUUAUAGAUGGAUCCGCGCUGCAUUAGCUAGUUGGUAAGGUAACGGCUUACCAAGGCAACGAUGCAUAGCCGACCUGAGAGGGUGCGCGGCCACUCUGAAACAGAGACACGGUCCAGACUCCUAGGGGGCGCAGCAGGAGAGAAUCUUCCACGAGGGGAGAACUCCUCACGGAACCACGCCGCGUGAGAGAAGGGUGUCGUCGUCUCAUAAAACUGUGUUAUGGGAGAAGAAAAUAUGUAUAAGAAACUGUACACAUCUAGGCGGUACCAACAGAGAGAGCCGCCUCUCUCCGCG
Molecule: ribosomal RNA, 495 nt
Filed under: uncultured bacterium
Lineage: Bacteria
Description: partial 16S ribosomal RNA
Rfam family: Bacterial small subunit ribosomal RNA
Source: RNAcentral